Molecule: ribosomal RNA, 433 nt
Filed under: uncultured bacterium
Lineage: Bacteria
Description: partial 16S ribosomal RNA
Rfam family: Bacterial small subunit ribosomal RNA
Source: RNAcentral
AACGAACGCUGGCGGCAUGCCUAACACAUGCAAGUCGAACGAGACCUUCGGGUCUAGUGGCGCACGGGUGCGUAACGCGUGGGAACCUGCCCUUAGGUUCGGAAUAACUCCCCGAAAGGGGUGCUAAUACCGGCUAAUCUCUUCGGACCAAAGAUUUAUCGCCUUUGGAUGGGCCCGCGUUGGAUUAGCUAGUUGGUAGGGUAAAAGCCUACCAAGGCGACGAUCCAUAGCUGGUCUGAGAGGAUGAUCAGCCACACUGGGACUGAGACACGGCCCAGACUCCUACGGGAGGCAGCAGUGGGGAAUAUUGGACAAUGGGCGAAAGCCUGAUCCAGCAAUGCCGCGUGAGUGAUGAAGGCCUUAGGGUUGUAAAGCUCUUUUACCCGGGAUGAUAAUGACAGUACCGGGAGAAUAAGCUCCGGCUAACUCCGUG